AGCGAACGCUGGCGGCAGGCUUAACACAUGCAAGUCGAACGGUCCUUCGGGAUAGUGGCGGACGGGUGAGUAUCACGUGGGAACGUACCCUUAGGUUCGGAACAACACAGGGAAACUUGUGCUAAUACCGGAUAAGCCCUUCGGGGGAAAGACUUAUCGCCUUUGGAGCGGCCCGCGUCUGAUUAGCUUGUUGGUGAGGUAAUGGCUCACCAAGGCUACGAUCAGUAGCUGGUCUGAGAGGAUGGCCGGCCACACUGGGACUGAGACACGGCCCAGACUCCUACGGGAGGCAGCAGUGGGGAACCUUGCGCAAUGGGCGAAAGCCUGACGCAGCCAUGCCGCGUGGAUGAUGAAGGUCUUAGGAUUGUAAAAUCCUUUCACCGGGGACGAUAAUGACGGUACCCGGAGAAGAAGCCCCGGCUAACUUCGUGCCAGCCGCCGCGGUAA
Molecule: ribosomal RNA, 447 nt
Filed under: uncultured bacterium
Lineage: Bacteria
Description: partial 16S ribosomal RNA
Rfam family: Bacterial small subunit ribosomal RNA
Source: RNAcentral